Molecule: ribosomal RNA, 494 nt
Filed under: uncultured bacterium
Lineage: Bacteria
Description: partial 16S ribosomal RNA
Rfam family: Bacterial small subunit ribosomal RNA
Source: RNAcentral
GACGAACGCUGGCGGCGUGCUUAACACAUGCCAGUCGAACGGAAAGGCCUGCUUUCCCUUGUGGAUUGCGGGUACUCGAGUGGCGAACGGGUGAGUAACACGUGAGUGAUCUGCCCCCAACUUGGGUAUAAGCCUGGGAAACUGGGUCUAAUUCCCGAUAGGACUGCAGGGUGGUGCCUGUGGUGGAAAACGAUUUUCUAGUGGUUGGGGAUGAGCUCGCGGCCUAUCAGCUUGUUGGUGGGGUAAUGGCCUACCAAGGCGGCGACGGGUAGCCGGCCUGGGAGGGUGGACGGCCACAUUGGGACUGAGAUACGGCCCAGACUCCUACGGGAGGCAGCAGUGGGGAAUAUUGCACAAUGGGAGGAAGCCUGAUGCAGCGACGCCGCGUGGGGGAUGACGGCCUUCGGGUUGUAAACUCCUUUCGACCGCGAGGAAGCCACCUGGUUGGAAGGGUGGUGACGGUAGUGGUAGAAGAAGCACCGGCUAACUACGUG